This 2339-nucleotide long non-coding RNA is filed under the name Anas platyrhynchos platyrhynchos (common mallard). Its description in RNAcentral is "lncRNA (ENSAPLG00000030484.1)". Lineage: Eukaryota; Metazoa; Chordata; Aves; Anseriformes; Anatidae. The record is from RNAcentral.
UUUAUUUUUUUCAUAAACCUUUUGUUUAUUGACCGGCGCCAUUUUGUGACGCUCCCACAACCCCUAUACAGCAAUUAAUUGCCCGGGGGGGGGGGGUCUCGGCGGUUCCCUCACCCUUUGGGGCAAGGCGGCCGCGGCUCGACGGCCGGGGCGCCGCACGGGGAGAAGCCCCCCCGGGGGCCGCACGCCCCCGGCCGCCUGGUCAACCCGUCCCGCUCUGCCUCUGCCCGCAGCCGUCCCGCAGGCGGGCUCCCGCCUGGCCGUCGCCGCCUCGCUGGUGAGCGGAGCCGUCAUCGCGGCGCUGGCCGCCGCCUUCGCCGUCUGCUGCUGGCGGGAGCGGGCGCGGAGGAGCCGAGGCCCGGGGCAGCAGCCCCGCAGGAAGGGCGGACGAUGGGAGCGCGGCCCCUCGGCGGCGGAGAGCGGGAGGAGAGCCCUGGGGAGGCUGAGGCAGCAGCACCACCGCCGCGACUACCGCCUGCCAGCCCUCUGCAGCGCCGUGAGCACGGGGGCACACGCGGGCUGCAGUAACCUGGCCUGCCAAAGGUAGGGAGCAGCCCCACGGGCACUGCCCGCAGCCCCUCGCACCGUGCCGGAGGGGCUGGGGGCAGCAGCAGGUGGAGGUGAAAGCUGCAGCGCCUGGGCAUUCAGUCCCCUACGCCUCCGACCCUCUUACCCCUGGCCUGGACCCCUUAGCAUCCUGAAAUGCCCUCCUUCCCUAAGUCCAUCUCAGCUAACCCAAGGCAGCGCAGCCUUGGUGGGCUGCAGGCUCCCUUGGGUGCUGCGGCUCCACUCACAGCCCUCUCUCCUUCUUGCCUUUGCCAGGAGCUCAGAAAACCUGCCAAAGCUGCCCCUGCAGAGCGCACACCCCGCAGCGCACCUCCUGCCCCCCUGGGCAGCACAGCCCCCCGCAGCACCCCACCGCCUGCUGCUGCCCCUGAGACCUGACUGCAUCGACCUCACGCGGGGCCUGCCCCCCGCCUGCUUCAGAAGCUACGAAGAUCACCAGCUCUUGCACAAGUUUGGGAGGCCCGUCUGAAAAUUUAAACCGUCAGUCAAAUGCCCCCUGCCCCCUUUUUUUUUUUCCUUAAAAGAUCAAUUCCUUGAAGCCCCACAGAGCUCAGAAAGAAUUUGACAAGAGCCAAUUACUGCACCUAGGUUUUCAAAUGGAGAAAAUUGAACACUCCAUGUUGAAAGGCUUUUUUGAUACAAUCCUUUUAUUGUUUCCCCUGUGUCCUGAAGUGCACAUUUCAAAGAAAUGCCUGGGUUACCAGCUUCUUAAUUGAUCAUUUGGGUGAGAUGCAUGAAGCCGAGUUAGAACAGCCCCAGUUUAAGUCAGAGGCUGAGCACGUGCAGAGUUUCAGGUCUUAAACACAAGAGCCUGAUUUGCUGUUUGGGGCUCCUUUAAAGGCUGAAAGUGAACAGCGAGUGCCAGUUACCAGAACAAGGAAUCUAUGUCAUUAGAUAAGUGGAAGCAUUUGCAAUUCAUUGCACUUGAAUGGAGGCUGAGAUUUAAAGUUUUUCCUGUUGUUCAGAACUUGCAACAUCCUCCCAUCGCUGUAGUCAAUCUUGGACUUGCAAGAUGCAAUGACAAGUGGGUAAAGAUAACCAGUCAAGAGGAAAACACGAAUUUGUCCUUAGUACAAAAGACCUAGCACAUUUAAAACAACCUGGGAUUUUUCAUUGCUUUUCUCCUGCAUUAGAGAUUCACAUCACAUGUAUCAUGACCAACAGCAGUGCCUGAAGAGCUAGCAUAAGUACUGUAGUUUGCAUUCAGAAGGCAACAACACCCAUAAUUCUGUCCAGGAUUUCCUGCAUGGAAACUUAGGGGCACAUCCCAGGCAACCACCCACAGAGCCUGGCCAGCAGACCUGGCAUAGAUAACGUGCCUGACACAUGCUGGGCGCACCGGGCUUGAGGAGCACAACCUCACAAGUGCGCAGGGAUGCUCUUCAUAUCUCGGGAGUGACUACUGAAUUAGAGAGGUGCUGGCAGCCCCAGAGCUGCUGGAUGCACAGGGCAGGGAAUAAGAACAAGCACCCAGAACAUGAACCACGAGCAUCGCUACCAUCCAGCACUCAAAGAUAAAACUCAAAAUGUCCUGCUACAAAGGCUGGGAGUUUUAGGCUGCCAACUCAGUUUCCAUCAACUUUUGCUUUACAUUUAAUUAAGGCUUCUUUCCUUGAAAAGAUGCAAGGUAGCACAUUUUUGUGAUAAAUGCAAGACCUACUUGGUAGACCCCCCUGGAAAGACUGCUGCUUCUCCCUGGAAAGAAGGCUAGGGGCACUUUUUCUAUUUGUAGUAAUAAUAAAGGAAUAUCUCCCAAUUCUACUUUUUAUGUC